Entelurus aequoreus (snake pipefish) is the source of this 606-nucleotide RNA transcript. It is a transcript of the gene named protein Hook homolog, with no coding region annotated. The transcript is spliced from 4 exons. The record is from RefSeq and is a predicted model, not a curated record. NCBI's taxonomy places the organism in Eukaryota, Metazoa, Chordata, Actinopteri, Syngnathiformes, Syngnathidae.
GGUGAGGGGAAACGAGCACUCAGGAAGGGGAACAAAAAUAAGAGCGCUGACAGGAAACAAACACCCAACAAGGAACCACAACCAGAAGUGAAGUGACAGAUCGUCACAUUUUUAAGCCAUUUUACAACAUUUUUCUAGAUUUGCUGGCUCAAUAUGAGUCCAAAGAAUGCAAUGGACAAGCGUGGUUUGAAACAUUCAGGAAGUAUCCACAGUGUUGUUGACAUGCUCCCACCCCACCCCUUCUUCUGCUGCACACAAAGAAGAAUAACCAACAAGUGUCUGCUGUGAUCCUGACAAGUCUAUGUGACAGCAGGAUGGCACAGCAGGACCAUCGGGGAGAGAUUUUAAAGUUCCAGCAGGAGGAGCGACUUCUUCUUAAAGCUUGGAAAAACAUGUCCUCCGCUCUCCAGCAGCAGACUUUGGAUGGUGACCUCAGACCUUCAGGCCCGGUCCAGUCCUUCCUGUCCAGGCAGAGGCAGUCGUCACGCAGAAGGAGGCUGCUGCAGCCCAGAUAGAAGCUUCCUAACUUCUGGAGGAGCAAGAGAUUCAAGGAUGUAUUUAUCCAGUUUGCUCUCAGCCUCUUUGUACGAGCUUGCUUCUAUCGCC